UACGGGGGGGGUAAGCGUUGUUCGGAAUUACUGGGCGUAAAGGGCGCGUAGGCGGUGCACCAAGUCAGGCGUGAAAGCCCCGGGCUCAACCCGGGAACGGCGCUUGAGACUGGUGCGCUCGAGUUCGGGAGAGGACGGUGGAAUUCCCAGUGUAGAGGUGAAAUUCGUAGAUAUUGGGAAGAACACCGAUGGCGAAGGCAGCCGUCUGGACCGACACUGACGCUGAGGCGCGAAAGCGUGGGGAGCAAACAGG
RNAcentral lists this ribosomal RNA (253 nucleotides) under uncultured bacterium. RNAcentral's name for it is "partial 16S ribosomal RNA". It matches the Rfam family "Bacterial small subunit ribosomal RNA", at positions 524 to 776 of the family's 1533-position model. The record is from RNAcentral.